Molecule: small RNA, 131 nt
Filed under: Escherichia coli
Lineage: Bacteria; Pseudomonadati; Pseudomonadota; Gammaproteobacteria; Enterobacterales; Enterobacteriaceae
Also listed under: 3 other names
Description: RtT sRNA
Rfam family: RtT RNA
About the family: This family represents a bacterial cis-regulatory element known as RtT RNA. The exact function of RtT is unknown although it is thought that it may be involved in changing the cellular response in relation to amino acid starvation.
Source: RNAcentral
UUUGCACUCAUCGGGGAAAGGUGAGAACCUUCGACUAAGGUUCGAUUCGAGCGAAAGCGAGAGAACGUUGCCACAGGCAACGGCCCGAAGGGUGAGGAGCGAAGCGACGAAUAAUCCUUCCCCCACCACCA